GUGGAGGCUAUAUACAGGGUAUUACGGUACAGAGUCAAUGUGGAGGCUAUAUACAGGGUAUUACGGUACAGAGUCAAUGUGGAGGCUAUAUACAGGGUAUUACAGGUACGGAGGCUAUAUACAGGGUGUUACGGUACAGAGUCAAUGUGGAGGCUAUAUACAGGGUAUUACGGUACAGAGUCAAUGUGGAGACUAUAUACAGGGGGUACCAGGACAGAGUCAAUGUGGAGGCUAUAUACAGGGUGUUACGGUACAGAGUCAAUGUGGAGGCUAUAUACAGGGUAUUACAGUACAGAGUCAAUGUGGAGGCUAUAUACAGGGUGUUACGGUACAGAGUCAAUGUGGAGGCUAUAUACAGGGUAUUACGGUACAGAGUCAAUGUGGAGACUAUAUACAGGGGGUACCGGUACAGAGUCAAUGUGGAGACUAUAUACAGGGGGUACCGGUACAGAGUCAAUGUGGAGGUUAUAUACAGGGUGUUACGGUACAGAGUCAAUGUGGAGGCUAUAUACAGGGUAUUACGGUACAGAGUCAAUGUGGAGGCUAUAUACAGGGUAUUACAGUACAGAGUCAAUGUG
Oncorhynchus tshawytscha (Chinook salmon) is the source of this 578-nucleotide long non-coding RNA. NCBI's taxonomy places the organism in Eukaryota, Metazoa, Chordata, Actinopteri, Salmoniformes, Salmonidae. The record is from Ensembl.